This 465-nucleotide ribosomal RNA is filed under the name uncultured Klebsiella sp. Its description in RNAcentral is "bacterial SSU rRNA". It matches the Rfam family "Bacterial small subunit ribosomal RNA", at positions 338 to 795 of the family's 1533-position model. Lineage: Bacteria; Pseudomonadati; Pseudomonadota; Gammaproteobacteria; Enterobacterales; Enterobacteriaceae. The record is from RNAcentral.
CCUACGGGUGGCUGCAGUGGGGAAUAUUGCACAAUGGGCGCAAGCCUGAUGCAGCCAUGCCGCGUGUGUGAAGAAGGCCUUCGGGUUGUAAAGCACUUUCAGCGGGGAGGAAGGCGGUGAGGUUAAUAACCUCAUCGAUUGACGUUAGCCGCAGAAGAAGCACCGGCUAACUCCGUGCCAGCAGCCGCGGUAAUACGGAGGGUGCAAGCGUUAAUCGGAAUUACUGGGCGUAAAGCGCACGCAGGCGGUCUGUCAAGUCGGAUGUGAAAUCCCCGGGCUCAACCUGGGAACUGCAUUCGAAACUGGCAGGCUAGAGUCUUGUAGAGGGGGGUAGAAUUCCAGGUGUAGCGGUGAAAUGCGUAGAGAUCUGGAGGAAUACCGGUGGCGAAGGCGGCCCCCUGGACAAAGACUGACGCUCAGGUGCGAAAGCGUGGGGAGCAAACAGGAUUAGAUACCCUUGUAGUC